GACGAACGCUGGCGGCGUGCUUAACACAUGCAAGUCGAACGGAAAGGCCCUGCUUUUGUGGGGUGCUCGAGUGGCGAACGGGUGAGUAACACGGGAGUAACCUGCCCUUGACUUUGGGAUAACUUCAGGAAACUGGGGCUAAUACCGGAUAGGAGCUCCUGCUGCAUGGUGGGGGUUGGAAAGUUUCGGCGGUUGGGGAUGGACUCGCGGCUUAUCAGCUUGUUGGUGGGGUAGUGGCUUACCAAGGCUUUGACGGGUAGCCGGCCUGAGAGGGUGACCGGCCACAUUGGGACUGAGAUACGGCCCAGACUCCUACGGGAGGCAGCAGUGGGGAAUAUUGCACAAUGGGCGGAAGCCUGAUGCAGCAACGCCGCGUGCGGGAUGACGGCCUUCGGGUUGUAAACCGCUUUCGCCUGUGACGAAGCGUGAGUGACGGUAAUGGAUAAAGAAGCACCGGCUAACUACGUG
This 468-nucleotide ribosomal RNA is filed under the name uncultured bacterium. RNAcentral's name for it is "partial 16S ribosomal RNA". It matches the Rfam family "Bacterial small subunit ribosomal RNA", at positions 28 to 507 of the family's 1533-position model. The record is from RNAcentral.